RNAcentral lists this ribosomal RNA (492 nucleotides) under uncultured bacterium. RNAcentral's name for it is "partial 16S ribosomal RNA". It matches the Rfam family "Bacterial small subunit ribosomal RNA", at positions 29 to 507 of the family's 1533-position model. The record is from RNAcentral.
AGUGAACGCUGGCGGUAGGCCUAACGCAUGCAAGUCGAACGGCAGCACAGUAAGAGCUUGCUCUUACGGGUGGCGAGUGGCGGACGGGUGAGGAAUACAUCGGAAUCUCCUUUUUCGUGGGGGAUAACGUAGGGAAACUUACGCUAAUACCGCAUACGACCUACGGGUGAAAGCAGGGGAUCUUCGGAACUUGCGCGAUUGAAUGAGCCGAUGUCGGAUUAGCUAGUUGGCGGGGUAAAGGCCCACCAAGGCGAUGAUCCGUAGCUGGUCUGAGAGGAUGAUCAGCCACACUGGAACUGAGACACGGUCCAGACUCCUACGGGAGGCAGCAGUGGGGAAUAUUGGACAAUGGGCGCAAGCCUGAUCCAGCCAUACCGCGUGGGUGAAGAAGGCCUUCGGGUUGUAAAGCCCUUUUGUUGGGAAAGAAAAGCAGCAGGUUAAUACCCCGCUGUUCUGACGGUACCCAAAGAAUAAGCACCGGCUAACUUCGUG